Non-coding RNA from Pelobates cultripes (western spadefoot toad), 222 nucleotides. Lineage: Eukaryota; Metazoa; Chordata; Amphibia; Anura; Pelobatidae. The record is from the annotation of a GenBank genome assembly.
GUUUGAAUUGUGCUGGCUCUGCCCCUGAUCUUUGUCAGUCUCAGACAAUCCUAUGGGGAAGCAAGAAGAAUAUGAAGCACAGGAGAUCAUUGACUCCCAUAUGUCAUGUGGAUCCCUUCAGUAUUUGGGGCAUUUGGUUACAGGCCUGAGGAAUAAUCCUAUAUGUACACACACCCAGGCUCUCUUUAUGCAAGGUACCUUUCUCGUCCUGGUGGUGCCUGC